This is a long non-coding RNA of Pomacea canaliculata, 4888 nucleotides long. RefSeq lists it as uncharacterized. The record is from RefSeq and is a predicted model, not a curated record. The transcript is spliced from 4 exons. NCBI's taxonomy places the organism in Eukaryota, Metazoa, Mollusca, Gastropoda, Architaenioglossa, Ampullariidae.
UAUCAAACAUUUCUAUAAGAUUGUUGCCAAGUUGUUAUUAGGUACGUUGCCCUGCCCACUGUAGAGGUCUACACCGUACACGGGGUGGAGGUGCGUUUCUUGAGGAGGGCCUCAAAGCUGUGGUCACCGGGCUACAAAUUAUGAGCCGCCCCCGCAACGGCUCCGGCAGCGAAGAUGAAGAUCGGUGGACGCCUUGCAGUCAAAUAAAGAAUGGAAACUAUCAAGACCUCCCGCGCUAGAGAGCGAGCUUGCCACAGACUUUCAAAAACUCAUCUCGAGGAUUAAGCCAGACCAAGACCACCAUAAACACUCACAGACCGUUAGGGCAAGGUUACGUGUGAACACCAGCUGUGACGUAUGCGCGUCCGAGACUUCGCUGCCACAAGCAACGUGUGCGACUUUUGUUUCCACUUGUUCUGCUCACUGCCGUCGCUGGAGUUGGCGUUAGUCUCAACAUCUAACGGACUUUCCCCCACCGAGGUUCUUCUGACCACAUCUGCCAGUACGGAGUGUAAGAUGACAGUGUGAUCAACGCACCAGCAUCCCAAUCUUUGUAAGAGGCGGACGACGAGACACCUGACACGAUGAGACUGAACGUGAUUCUCACCUGCCUGACGCUCUGUGUUCUGCACGGAGCCGUCAAAACAAGACGUCACUUCCUGUUUUCUUCUGCCAACCGUCCCUCGUCCACAAGAGCUUGGGGGAGCUCAGCCCUGCAGGCAUCCGAACUGUGGGAUGCCAUAAACUCGACAGAAGAAAAUCCUUCCGAUGUAGUCAGAUACCUCAUGGUUCUGCAGCCAGGCGACGGGUAUCCUUCUUGGGUCCAGCCCCAGGCACCGGAGACGCCAUUACUGGGGACAGUAUUUCCCGUGCCGUGGAAACGGUUGUUGCCAGCACCGAAGAUCGGCUUUUUGGAACUACUUUCUCGACAUCGGAGCCUUAAGCAGGUAGCAGCCAACAGUAUGCCCGAGCAGCCCAUGAUUGCUGCUGCCUCCUUCCGCAAGAGGGACAGAUAUAACUGUGAUCUUUCCCGCGUUUCCAUUCAGAUGAUUAUAGAGUACCUGAGAACAAGGAGAAUAUGCGGCUUCCGUGUGAACCAAAUGCGUUUCGCACUGGGAGGAAAGUAGAGAAACUUCAGGUCCACCAGUGAGAAGUCACGUCCACAAGAUGGCGUAUACACGGCAACAACAGAUGCACAUUGAACACCUAGUUCUUUUUUUAUUUUUAUUUAUUUUUUUUUUACCUGAGGGACGUUUUCAGUUUAGUGAAGAUUUCUCAACGAGCAGGCUUCACAGAUACUGGAAAGUAUAAAUUUGUUUUCAGUGAAUGGUAUAAUUUACUGAUUUGCUGUUAAAUCUUUAAAGGAAACUGCUUAGUACCUCCCCCAGAAAAAAAAUGGGCGAACAUUGCUGACAAUUAUUUUCGGUCUCUUUUCAGUGGUUUAUAAAUGUUGGAUGUUGACUUGUCUGCUUGCUGUUAAUCUUUGAUACCGCAAACAGGGUAGGCUACGAUAGCAUAUGUUUUAAUUUGGUGCAACAAUAACAACAACAACAACCAUUCCCAAUAUUUCUUAAUGAUAACGAGUGUGUAGAAAAAGCCCGAUGCUUUUGUCUUGCUGUUUAACGGAAGCUGACAUUAUACAUUCAAGAAAUUCAUCUCAUUUUCUUCCUUUCUGGUAACAUUAAAGGCAAUAUUUUUAUUUCCAGCAAUCAUACUAGUAAGCUUAAUACUUGCACAAAUAGUUUUUAAAUACCAAAUUCUGGUAAAAAAAAAUUGAUACUUUGCUAUCAGCAAUGACGAUUUGAGAUAAACUACCGCCAUUUUUUUUUUUCCUUGCGACAUUUUGGAUUUUGUCUUCUUCACUCUUUUUCUAUUUUCUAAUUUAUCUAUCUAUCCGUUCGUUCGUUCGUUCGUCCGCUUGCCUGUAUGUUUGUCUACAUUCCAUGUGUUGUGUGCGUGUGCGUGUGUUUGCUAGUUUCAGCGAAUAAAUUUUGGGAGGGUCGAAAGAUGUCUGUCCCGUUUUAACUGUUAUUGUCAUUUAAAAUAUAAUAAACACCUAAAUUUCUCUUUUAAAGGGAUUUUUAGGCACCAAAACAUAUUUCUUCUAUCAUUCGCAAUUAAGGACGGUUUCUUAGACCGAGGGCGAUGACAUUCGCUUCUAAGAUGGCGUCUGAUGUUAAGAGUUCUGUAAACCUGCGUCCUUAGUAGCGCUAUUUCUUGAACCUCACCUCAAGUGAAAUGCAAGACUUGAGUGUUGCUUUUUCCCUUUCUUUUUGUCCACACUUUUUUUUUUCAAACCUGCAUGUUUGGACACUCGUAUCCUUGCAUAAACAACACAGGGUAGGUUGCUCCUCGUUGUACAUGAUAGUUUAUUUAUGUGUUUAUGCAUCUAAACCAGCGCAAAGCAAGUCAUGUUUGCGAAUGAAAAUGGAGAUGGUUGUCAAUUGUUUAGAUAGUUUAGCAAAAAAUUAAACCUUGACUGACUGAUUAACGCAUUUCUGCUCUGCUGCUCUGCUGAUUUCACGGAAAGACGAGCUCUUCCACACACUCAAAAAAAAAAUGUUUGGCUCGGCUCAAUACAAGAUUCUACAUGCGGUCGUCUCAAGGAAGACAUUUCGUUCUCGAGAUACAGUCUCCAAAAUUCACUGGAGAGGUUGAAAACAUUACAUCCCAUACUAAGAUGGAAUCUUUGCAUUGUCAAUGUUAUAGCCAGUGAAUGAACUAGAACAAAGUAUUACCCGAGCUUUUUGUAAGGGACACGCAAUUCCUUUUAUUUCUUAUCUGUUCGUGAAUCAUAUUUUUAUAGUGUGUAUCUCGAGAACAGAAGCUAUUUGCUCGGAUUUCAUGAAGUAGAAUUUUGUACUGAGCUCAGCGCAGUCGAUAUCCCAAAGAUUUAACAGAUAGACAUAUAAGUUAACUUUGCGUUAAAACAGUAUUAUUAUUAAAAUCCACCCAUACGUUCAACGGCAGAUAUGUCUCUUAAUAUGUCUAAAUGAUUAAAUUGUUUGCCUUUUUUCAUUUUGAACAAAAUGUCCUCUUCAGUUGUUGAUUUCGUAUUAGAUUAUCUGAGGACUUCUUCUGAUUAAUGGUCAGCAAAAUUUUCUUUUCCAUAACCAAGGACUUGAAUCCUUUCUCUCGCUAAUUUUUGGAAUAAAUGUAAGGAGCACUCUGAAAAUCUUUACGUUAGGAUACGAAGACGUGUUUUUUUGAUGUAAGGAGUGAGAACACACACACACACACUCGAGACAUAUCUGAACACAUUAACAUUGCUAUGACAACCUUCCCGUUCUCUACCCACUUAACAUUAAACAUCUAAGUUAGUUGCCAUGGAAGUUCACAGAAAAUUCGCCUAUUUGCUCCUCAAUGUAUUUUUUUUUUCCUCGGCCAAACAAAAUAUUUUUUUGUCACCCACUAUACUCUCACAGUUCACUAGUUUCACCGUUGCUUGGGUUUCAGGGCAAAGUCAGUAGAGGAGGGAGUGGGGUGAAGAACCAAAUUUUGUUCUCAUACCCCUUGCGAUAAUUGUUUUUCUUUGGUCAUCUAUCUUUCAAAUCCCUUGACAUCACUUUCAUUCGUCCGCCAUUUCCCCCUCCUACGCUGGUCUCGACUGCUGCUUAUUAAGAAAUACUUGGUCUCCUUAUCACAUUAUAAAAGUUAUUAGAAAAGAAAUGCAGAAGACCCUCAGUUCUUCUAUCUCCGUUUUUGCUCAUUAGUCGACACCCACAGGACUGCCCUGGACCUCAGACUUUGUCCCUCAAUCAGUUGAUGACUGUAUGAUGUAUAAUUAUGAUCGGAUCCCGUGUGUGUACAGCAUUAGUAAGUUUUUAUUUUUGCUUUUCUCGGGACAGAAGCACAUUAUACACAGCUUUUAAAAAGCUGGGUUGCUGUCAAAAAUUAAAUGUUCUGAUUAACUGGAUUGGCUGUGUAGCUGAUGAAAGAUCACGUGAUACCGCUUCGUGGCACUGGAUGCGGCAGUGAACAGCUAGAGGCUGACUAUGUGAGCGAACUGCAGUUAGAAGAAAGAAAGCUUAUAUUGUUGUUUACGGUGCAUCUUUUUCGAUAAUGGCUGUAUCCAAAGUUAACAAUGUUUAGUACUUGCACAAUGAUGGUUUCAUAGUCCCCUUGUAAAUUUUUUUCUUUGUCACCACUUUAACCUCUCUAUGGUGCACACACACACACAUCUAUCAUAUAAUCUGAAGAUUUCGAAUGUUUUCAUUGUCCUAGAGAUUUCCCCCUAAAAACUUCCCAAUCAGAUGCUUUUUUAUUUUCAUCAUUUAUAUGUUAUCAUUAGAUGUAGCAGUCUACAGGUUACAGCAUUUCUAAAGAAUGGCAUUCUGAGGAAAGUGUAUGUGCGUGUGUGUGUGUGUGUCGGGGGGAGGUAGGGUGGUGGUCAUGGUCCACAACACAGACGAGGACUUGCAGACGACCAGCCAGCUUAUUACACGCCAGCCUUGUUUCUGUCAGCAAGAUGGCGCUGUGUGUUUAUUAACGACUUUCUUUAAUAUUUAUGUAGAGUUGUACACAUUAUCUUUUUUGUAAAGUUUCUCAUUGUUUCGAUCUGCAGGAUAUUAAAAAGAUUAAAACUGAUUUUAUAUGACCGUGUCUGCUUUUUCUUUCUCUCUCUCUCUCACUUUCUUUUUAAACCUUUCUUAUAAGGAUUAUUGCAACAGUCUCUUCGAUCCUCGACUACCAUCUCGACAAUCUAAACAGGGCUUUGGGUUCGUGCGUGCACUCUGGUGUUUGUCUUUGCUAACAAAGUCAUAAACUCUGGUCAGAUCGAUGUGUCCUCCCCCAACUCUCUUCAAUGGCAUCCCCCGUUCGUGUUCUAGAGUCCAGCAGACUCUCAGCUUCUCGCUUAAGUUCUCAGUCCCAAGGCACUGAGUAUCUA